RNAcentral lists this ribosomal RNA (655 nucleotides) under Pseudomonas sp. Its description in RNAcentral is "bacterial SSU rRNA". It matches the Rfam family "Bacterial small subunit ribosomal RNA", at positions 70 to 721 of the family's 1533-position model. Lineage: Bacteria; Pseudomonadati; Pseudomonadota; Gammaproteobacteria; Pseudomonadales; Pseudomonadaceae. The record is from RNAcentral. RNAcentral also lists the same sequence under 1 other name.
UGACGGGAGCUUGCUCCUUGAUUCAGCGGCGGACGGGUGAGUAAUGCCUAGGAAUCUGCCUGGUAGUGGGGGACAACGUUUCGAAAGGAACGCUAAUACCGCAUACGUCCUACGGGAGAAAGCAGGGGACCUUCGGGCCUUGCGCUAUCAGAUGAGCCUAGGUCGGAUUAGCUUGUUGGUGAGGUAAUGGCUCACCAAGGCGACGAUCCGUAACUGGUCUGAGAGGAUGAUCAGUCACACUGGAACUGAGACACGGUCCAGACUCCUACGGGAGGCAGCAGUGGGGAAUAUUGGACAAUGGGCGAAAGCCUGAUCCAGCCAUGCCGCGUGUGUGAAGAAGGUCUUCGGAUUGUAAAGCACUUUAAGUUGGGAGGAAGGGCAGUAAGUUAAUACCUUGCUGUUUUGACGUUACCGACAGAAUAAGCACCGGCUAACUCUGUGCCAGCAGCCGCGGUAAUACAGAGGGUGCAAGCGUUAAUCGGAAUUACUGGGCGUAAAGCGCGCGUAGGUGGUUUGUUAAGUUGGAUGUGAAAGCCCCGGGCUCAACCUGGGAACUGCAUCCAAAACUGGCAAGCUAGAGUACGGUAGAGGGUGGUGGAAUUUCCUGUGUAGCGGUGAAAUGCGUAGAUAUAGGAAGGAACACCAGUGGCGAAAG